AUUGAACGCUGGCGGCAUGCCUUACACAUGCAAGUCGAACGGCAGCACGGGUGCUUGCACCUGGUGGCGAGUGGCGAACGGGUGAGUAAUACAUCGGCACAUGUCCUGUAGUGGGGGAUAGCCCGGCGAAAGCCGGAUUAAUACCGCAUACGAUCUACGGAUGAAAGCGGGGGACCUUCGGGCCUCGCGCUUUCGGGUUGGCAGAUGGCUGUUUAGCUAGUUGGUGGGGUAAAGGCCUACCAAGGCGACGAUCAGUAGCUGGUCUGAGAGGACGACCAGCCACACUGGGACUGAGACACGGCCCAGACUCCUACGGGAGGCAGCAGUGGGGAAUUUUGGACAAUGGGCGAAAGCCUGAUCCAGCAAUGCCGCGUGUGUGAAGAAGGCCUUCGGGUUGUAAAGCACUUUUGUCCGGAAAGAAAUCCUUGGCCCUAAUACGGUCGGGGGAUGACGGUACCGGAAGAAUAAGCACCGGCUAACUACGUG
RNAcentral lists this ribosomal RNA (486 nucleotides) under uncultured bacterium. RNAcentral describes it as "partial 16S ribosomal RNA". It matches the Rfam family "Bacterial small subunit ribosomal RNA", at positions 30 to 507 of the family's 1533-position model. The record is from RNAcentral.